AGCAUAUCAAUAAGCGGAGGAAAAGAAACUAACAAGGAUUCCCCUAGUAACGGCGAGUGAAGCGGAAGAGCUCAAAUUUAAAAUCUGGCGGUGUAUUCCGUCCGAGUUGUAGUCUAGAGAAGCAUCAUCCGCGCCGGACCAUGUACAAGUCUCUUGGAACAGAGCGUCAUAGAGGGUGAGAAUCCCGUCCUUGACAUGGACUCCCGGUGCUUUGUGUUGUGCUCUCGACGAGUCGAGUUGUUUGGGAAUGCAGCUCAAAAUGGGUGGUAAAUUCCAUCUAAAGCUAAAUAUUGGCGAGAGACCGAUAGCGAACAAGUACCGUGAGGGAAAGAUGAAAAGCACUUUGGAGAGAGAGUUAAACAGUACGUGAAAUUGUUGAAAUGGAAACGAUUGAAGUCAGUCGCGUUCUCUGGGAUUCAGCCUUGCUUCUGCUUGGUGCAUUUCCUAGUCUACGGGCCAGCAUGGAUUUCGACCGUUGGAAAAAGGCUGGGGGAAUGUGGCACUUCGGGUGUGUUAUAGCCCCUUGUCACAUACAUCGGUUGGGAUCGAGGACCUCAGUGCACGCUUCGGUUGUGCUUUGAUGCUGGCGUAAUGGCUUUAAACGACCCGUCUUGAAACACGGACCNNCANGAUCAACCUUCUGCGANUGUUUGGGUGANANAUCGGACGCGCAAUNAAAGUGAUAGUUGGGAACCUUUCACGAGGGGCACCGACNCCCGGACCAGACCUUCUGUGACGGAUCCGAGGUAGAGCAUAUAUGUUGGGACCCGAAAGAUGGUGAACUAUGCCUGCAUAGGGUGAANCCAGAGGAAACUCUGGUGGAGGCUCGUAUCGAUUCUGACGUGCAAAUCNAUCGUCUAAUGUGGGUAUANGGGCGAAAGACUAUUCGAACCAU
Molecule: ribosomal RNA, 895 nt
Filed under: Ceratobasidium sp. AG-D
Lineage: Eukaryota; Fungi; Basidiomycota; Agaricomycetes; Cantharellales; Ceratobasidiaceae
Description: eukaryotic LSU rRNA
Rfam family: Eukaryotic large subunit ribosomal RNA
Source: RNAcentral